CUUCCGAGCGGCUGCAGAUGGGUGAACUGCCCCCACCCUCCUUUCUUGACCUGUCACCCUUCCCUGGGCGAGAUCACUGUGUCCCUCUCCAAGCUUGCGUCCUGGACCCGUGGGACGGCAACCACAGACCAUUCCCAGACAGGCCAUCCUCAUUGUUCAAGGAUUCUGGAUUUGCAAGUUCACCUGCUUGCUAAAAUUUAUUUUUUUAACCCCCAAAUCAAUACAUGUGCCCCUUCACAGUCAUUCAUGCACAUGCGCAGAGCAGGGGAAAAUUUGAGUCAUUCCCAGCUGAGGUCAAACAAGGCGACACGCUGCCUGCUUGCUCCAGCUCUCACACCGUAAACAUGGGUCCUUUCCAAAGUACAUUGAGUGCCAGGGUUUUUGCACUUUUGUGCUUUUUGUCAGUGAUUUUGCUGUUCAGAGUGGCCCUGAGCAUAGUGCUGAAGCUCGAGGAGGCUGGGACGUGCCUCACGGAGAAACUGCGUGUGUUGGAUUAGCUUCGCCCAGAAGUGAGUCACAGCUGUUGGCUGGGAGUUCAAGUUCCUGAAGCUUUUAAAAUGCAAAACAUGUAUAAAACGUCUCUUGGACAUUCCCAUGUCGGAUGGGUUGGCGGGAAUGGAGACCGGAUGCAUCACCUGCUCAGGAUGCGCCUCGUUACUGGGGGGCUCUGAGAACGCUGGGAUAGCCCCCGAUUCUGAGCCGCCUCAAGGAGGAGCUGGGGGAGAAAUGGGCUCCACGUUUCCCGCCAGAAAUAGCCACUUCUGCAUCUACAUGUCGUGAUUAUGAUUUUGCUUCAAGCCCAUGAAUCCUGGAUCCGAGCUACCCUGGGUCCCAGGUGGUAGAGAGCAGGAGAGGCAGAGAAGCCCCCCAAGAUCCUGGGGUGACUUCCAGUGGGAUUGCGAAGCACCCCCAAAGCUGAGGGCUGCCUUACUUAAGAGGAAAGGCCUUCGGGGGAAGCAGGAGGCCCUGGUGACACCAUGAACUUUUCCAAAAUAUUGAAUCUUCAUGCUUGACAGCAAAGAAGCAAACCAAUUGGCACAAAACUGU
Molecule: long non-coding RNA, 1047 nt
Organism: Choloepus didactylus (southern two-toed sloth)
Lineage: Eukaryota; Metazoa; Chordata; Mammalia; Pilosa; Megalonychidae
Exons: 3
Source: RefSeq, a predicted model, not a curated record